GAUCUCUUUCUGGAGAUUGCUCCUCUUGGAGUUUUUCUUGCGAGCCUAUGACACAGGAGCUCAAGAUUUAUGAUCGUCUUACUAGCAGAACUACUCUUCCUCCCCAGUAAAGCUUCAAGAAUGAAAUGAAGGGCAUAUUGUGAAUAAGUAUUGUGGAAGGAAAAGUUCCUCUGAAAGUUGCUGGACCUGUUCAAAGUGAGAAGCUUUGUUUGUGGGCCCACUGGAAUCACCAUGGUGUUUUCUCAAAUAUGGCAAGGGCAUUGGUUUGGUUUGUUACCAUGAAAAUUGACAUUAUUUAGUUUCUCCCAUAUUAUUUAUCACAGGAUAUGUGGUAUCUUCCUGUUUGGCAAAGUAACUCAAUAAGCAGACUUAUUUAUGUUUAAUAGAGAUUUACUUCAGCAACAGAAUACUAAUGGACUAAUACGGCUUACACUGUACUGUGGUAGUGAAGUAGGAAGGCCAAAAAUGUGUGCUAUACUGAAAUGCCAGAUGGUUUUUGAUGGUAUCAGGUACAUUUUGUGUGUCUGCUAAAUCUUGCUUUAGCAGGCAAAAAAAAAUCUUCGAACUCUCUCUGGUAUAGCUACUAGUAAGUAUAGCUACUAAUAUUAGUUCUGAGAGUGCUUAAGGCAUAUUCCUAAAUUUAAUUCUCUAUUAACAGUAUAGCUAUUAAUAUUGUUCUGUGGGAAGGAAAGACAAAAGUCUGGCUUCUGUAUGUCAGCAUUCUUUUCACAGCUGUAAAACUGUGUAUGAAAUGAGUACUUUCUAUUUUUCUCACAGGCAGGGUAGGCUAAGGACUCAAAUAUUUAAAACAGCUAAAUACAUUUCAUUAGUUUAAAAAAAUAGACAUUUUUGCAAUUUUCUUACUGGAAUUAUCUCCAUUUUCAACUGUUUUUGAGUCAGUAGUAUUAUUUCUGACGAUCAAAAUAUCAGGAAGUAUUUUUGUGGAAUCUAUCUUUGGACACAUACUGUCUGGCGUUAAUGAUGUGUUUGAGCAUGUUAGUACUUAUAGAACUACUUGCAGCUUUUAUAAAAUGUUUGUACUUCGACUCAGUUAAUACAAUUUUAUCCCUUUAAAAGUGCCAGCAAUGCCAACUUCACAUUUAUGUCAGUGCAUUCUUCAUUAAAUUGUGAGUAGUCUUGUGACUCUGAGCUUGAGAUUAAUCCUCUGCCAUGUUUGCUUUUGUGUAAAGACAUGUGGGUCAAUAAUUAAUGAAAACAAAAUAAAACUGCUACUGACAGG
Molecule: long non-coding RNA, 1240 nt
Organism: Gallus gallus (chicken)
Lineage: Eukaryota; Metazoa; Chordata; Aves; Galliformes; Phasianidae
Source: Ensembl